CAUACAUACAUACAUACAUACAUAUAUGCAUACAAAUGUUUAUAUUUUAGCUGAAAGUUAAGAAAAUGUAUAAAACAUUCAUUGACUUUUCUUGAACUGAAUACCAACACAUACAUACUUACAUUCAUAAAUGCUAUAUAAGAUAUAAGUUAAAAUAUAAAAUGAUAAGAGAAACAAGCUCACAAAGUCGGCGUAGGAAGUUGAGUCAGUAUGUAAUGAUGAAACAAAACUCUUGGCUGCACGGUAAUUGUGUUGGUGACUGCCCACCUCAAAUUUGCUCACGCCAAAAGUACACCAUGCGUAAUUACAGUUACUAAAAAUAAUUAUUAAAGCACAAAAAGGCGUUGCUGGCAGUAUUUGUCUACUACCACAAAUAAAAUAUUAUGUCAAAAUUUUGUAAUUCUAACAUUACUCGUAUUUAAUGCAAGACCUUUGAAUUUCACUGAAAGCGAGAGGAAAUUUUUGUUGGAAUUAGAAAACACGUAAACAGCUGGAACAUGAAAUAGUGGAAGUACUUCUGUUCUAUUUCCGUGUGGCGUUCUAGGAAGUUUCAACAAGUUCCAUCACAUUGUUGUUAUGAAUGGAGCAAAACUAAGUAUCACAUACAAAUGCACUGAAUCACUAAAAUUUCUGCACAAAAUAUAUGUACAUAUUAUGUCAUUUAAACCGUUGAAUUUCAAAAUUUUACCAAAAUUUAUAAACUGUAUGAAAGAAAAAAAAUUAAAAUAAAAACUUUCUACUUCACUAUAUGCCUUACACACUGAA
Non-coding RNA from Bactrocera oleae (olive fruit fly), 765 nucleotides. The record is from RefSeq and is a predicted model, not a curated record. NCBI's taxonomy places the organism in Eukaryota, Metazoa, Arthropoda, Insecta, Diptera, Tephritidae.